AUUUUACAACGCGAACCUUAACGGACCGGUGUGAAUAUUUUCUGUUCGGGAACGCGCUUAAUGCAAACAAUCGUUUUGUCUUUCGGAAAAUAUCUAAAUAAUUUUGUGCAAAUUAAAUGAAAAUUGUUUUGUAUUUCUACACUAGAAACAACUCUUCUUAAAACAAAGUGCGUGUGUGUGUGCAAUUGCAAGAAGAAAACUUGGAGUGUGUAACUAUAACUUCUUGAAGAAAAAAAAAUCGUUAGAUUGUGAAAUCUGUGUAGGAAAACUAACACAGCUAAUGGUUUGGUACAUUUGAUCAAGGCAAAGUAAAGAAAGGCAUUCAUUAAUAUUCAUAGAAAUACUUACUUAAAAAAUUUAUCAAAACUAAUUUUCACUAAUUAAACGAAUAAAAAAGUAACUAAAAUUCUUACCCUUUCUUUGAAGAAUUUUUUUGGAAUGCCCAUUAACAUAUGAAAAUUUAGAAAAUUUUAAAAUCUAUUUACAAAAACAAUAUUUUCAAUAAUUGAAAAAAUUUUAAUAUUUGGACAUAAUUUUAUGUGGAAAAAUUUUAAAAAAUUGGUUCAAAAAAAGUUAGAAUUAUUUUACAAAAAUAAUAUUUAAAAUAUUUGAAGAAAUUAAAAUAAUUGGACAAAAUUUCAUGUGGAAAAAUUUUUAAACAAUUGGUCCAAAAUUCUUCAAAAUAGAAAAAAUAAUUAAAUAUUAACAAACGUAUUACCUGGCUACAAAAAAUCUUUAAUAGGCUCUUAUUAAGGAGAUUUAAAUUAUAACAAAAAAUCUUAAAGUGCCAAUUUUUGCUUUUGUAAAAAUAAAUAAACGAGGAAAUACUAAGGAAAAUAAAAAUAUCAUACAAAAAAAUCUUUUCAAAAAGUGAUUUCUCCAAAAAAUUAAAAAGCCUUCUAAAAAAAAAAAUUCCACAGAAAGUGUGCUCAUAUCUGUGCCUUUUGAAGCAUAAAAUUUUAAAGCAAAAAAAAAAAAAAAGAAUCAAAUUCUAGGUGUUUACUUUUCACCCACAACGCGCCUUUCGUCGUCUGCCUGACUUGCCUUUUGCCAGCCGCCUUGUGUCAACAUUGAAGAAGAAUGAUAUCAUAACCAAUUUUCAUAGUGAAAUCAAAUAUAACAGAAAAAGUGCAAUUUAAAUAAAUGGAAAAGUUCAAUAAAAGCAUUUGAACCAAGUUCAUCGUGGUAAUAAGAAUAAAAAGAAAAAUUCAAGUUUCCCCUAAAAAUGCUACAAGUGCAAAAAAGCUAAAUCAAUAACGAUAAAGUAACAUAAAGUUGUCUUACAUUUACAAAAAAUAAAAAUGCAAAAGAAAUACAAAUAGCAGAAGUUGAGAAAAGAAAAUCUAAUAGUCACUAAUGUGUUGUUGUUUAUUCAGCCUUAACAAAUAACUUAUACCUAAGCAGUGCUAAAUCUAACCAUACAACAUAACAAAGUAUACAACCCAGCAAACAAUUUAUCAGAAAAAAAGAAAAAAAAAAAAAUUAAAUAAAAUAAAUAAUUGUGUGCCCGUAUCAAUCAACCACUACAGCUGGAGCAGCAGCAGCAUCAGCAUCAGCAUCAUUACAACAGCCAUCAUUAUUCUUAUCCUUCCUGAUAGAAUUCAACAGCAGCCAUCAAGGAUAAUUUAGCUCUCAAGCGGUGGCCAUUAAUUUAACUUCCCCGCAAAUCGUUUAGGCUAACUAAUAAGCAAAAUAAAAAAAAAAUACCUAACGCAGAAGAAACACCAUCACAAAUUUUUUUGGUGAAACAUCAUCUGUUUUUUUUUCGUGUGUGUACGUUUUUUUCUAUCAUUAUUAAUUGUUUUUUGUGCCUUAAAAACCGACCAUACGGCCGACAUCAUGAAUCACAACCGAAUCUAUUGGAGUGGCGUCAUAUUUGUCAGCACCAUGCUGACAUUGGCGAAAUUUGUACCGACAACGGCGACAACUGCAGAAUUAACAGGUAAAUUUCUUAUCGCAUGUAAUCUUUGUAAAACUAUGGAAUUGGGGUAAGAUUUUGGAUUUUCGUGUUUAUUUUUAAUUUUCUUUUUAUCAUUCCAAGGGCAUUUAAAAAUGAAAUGCCAUAUGCAGAGAAUAGUGCCUACCAUGUAAGACAAAUAAAUUAUUAAGGCAAUGAAGAAAAGCUUCACUAGGCAAUAUUUUGGUGAUAAGAUAAGAUAUGAGAAUGUAAACAAAUUUUAAAACAAACCAGCAAGGAAAGGCAAACGUCGGGCGGUGCCGACUUUAUAAUACCCUACACCUACCCUAUAGGUACAAAGUGGGAGCUAUUUCUAAUUCCGAACCAAUACAAAAAUGUUCGAAUUAUGAAAAAACCACUUAG
This is a long non-coding RNA of Stomoxys calcitrans (stable fly), 2320 nucleotides long. RefSeq lists it as uncharacterized. The record is from RefSeq and is a predicted model, not a curated record. The transcript is spliced from 4 exons. NCBI's taxonomy places the organism in Eukaryota, Metazoa, Arthropoda, Insecta, Diptera, Muscidae.